This 460-nucleotide ribosomal RNA is filed under the name uncultured bacterium. RNAcentral describes it as "partial 16S ribosomal RNA". It matches the Rfam family "Bacterial small subunit ribosomal RNA", at positions 338 to 795 of the family's 1533-position model. The record is from RNAcentral.
CCUACGGGUGGCAGCAGUGAGGAAUCUUGGUCAAUGGGCGAGAGCCUGAUCCAGCCAAGCAGCGUGAAGGAUGACUGCCCUUCGGGUUGUAAACUUCUUUUAUAAAGGAAUAAAGUGAGGCACGUGUGCCUCUAUGUAUGUAGUCUAUGAACAAGGAUCGGCUAACUCCGUGCCAGCAGCCGCGGUAAUACGGAGGAGCCGAGCGUUAGCCGGAUUUAUUGGGUUUAAAGGGAGCGUAGGUGGGUUGGUAAGUCAGUUGUGAAAGGUUGCGGCUCAACCGUAAAAUUGCAAUUGAUACUGGCAGCCUUGAGUACGGUUGAGGGAGGCGGAAUUCGUGGUGUAGCGGUGAAAUGCUUAGAUAUCGCGAAGAACUCCGAUUGCGAAGGCAGCCUACUAGACUGCCACUGACAUUGAGGCUCGAAAGUGUGGGGAUCAAACAGGAUUAGAUACCCCUGUAGUC